AUGAAUGUGAGGAUCCUUCCCCCCAAUGAUAUACUAUGAUUAUACUAUGCACAAAUGUCAUCGCAUCGGGAUUCCAAGCUAGAAAUCUGAUCCAU
Molecule: non-coding RNA, 95 nt
Organism: Hordeum vulgare subsp. vulgare (domesticated barley)
Lineage: Eukaryota; Viridiplantae; Streptophyta; Magnoliopsida; Poales; Poaceae
Source: Rfam